AGUGAACGCUGGCGGUAGGCCUAACACAUGCAAGUCGAACGGCAGCACAGGAGAGCUUGCUCUCUGGGUGGCGAGUGGCGGACGGGUGAGGAAUACUUCGGAAUCUACUCUGUCGUGGGGGAUAACGUAGGGGAACUUACGCUAAUACCGCAUACGACCUACGGGUGAAAGCAGGGGAUCUUCGGACCUUGCGCGAUUGAAUGAGCCGAUGUGGGAUUAGCUAGUUGGCGGGGUAAAGGCCCACCAAGGCGACGAUCCGUAGCUGGUCUGAGAGGACGAUCAGCCACACUGGAACUGAGACACGGUCCAGACUCCUACGGGAGGCAGCAGUGGGGAAUAUUGGACAAUGGGCGCAAGCCUGAUCCAGCCAUACCGCGUGGGUGAAGAAGGCCUUCGGGUUGUAAAGCCCUUUUGUUGGGAAAGAAAUCCAGCUGGCUAAUACCCGGUUGGGAUGACGGUACCCAAAGAAUAAGCACCGGCUAACUUCGUGCCAGCCGCCGCCGUAA
This 506-nucleotide ribosomal RNA is filed under the name uncultured bacterium. RNAcentral describes it as "partial 16S ribosomal RNA". It matches the Rfam family "Bacterial small subunit ribosomal RNA", at positions 29 to 523 of the family's 1533-position model. The record is from RNAcentral.